Molecule: ribosomal RNA, 795 nt
Filed under: uncultured Pseudomonadota bacterium
Lineage: Bacteria; Pseudomonadati; Pseudomonadota
Description: bacterial SSU rRNA
Rfam family: Bacterial small subunit ribosomal RNA
Source: RNAcentral
ACGGUAACAGGCCGCAAGGUGCUGACGAGUGGCGAACGGGUGAGUAAUGUAUCGGAACGUGCCCAGUCGUGGGGGAUAACGCAGCGAAAGCUGCGCUAAUACCGCAUACGAUCUACGGAUGAAAGUGGGGGAUCGCAAGACCUCAUGCUCAUGGAGCGGCCGAUAUCUGAUUAGCUAGUUGGUGGGGUAAAGGCCUACCAAGGCAUCGAUCAGUAGCUGGUCUGAGAGGACGACCAGCCACACUGGAACUGAGACACGGUCCAGACUCCUACGGGAGGCAGCAGUGGGGAAUUUUGGACAAUGGGCGAAAGCCUGAUCCAGCCAUGCCGCGUGCAGGAUGAAGGCCUUCGGGUUGUAAACUGCUUUUGUACGGAACGAAAAAGUCUUCUCUAAUACAGGGGGCGAAUGACGGUACCGUAAGAAUAAGCACCGGCUAACUACGUGCCAGCAGCCGCGGUAAUACGUAGGGUGCGAGCGUUAAUCGGAAUUACUGGGCGUAAAGCGUGCGCAGGCGGUUAUGUAAGACAGUUGUGAAAUCCCCGGGCUCAACCUGGGAACUGCAUCUGUGACUGCAUAGCUAGAGUACGGUAGAGGGGGAUGGAAUUCCGCGUGUAGCAGUGAAAUGCGUAGAUAUGCGGAGGAACACCGAUGGCGAAGGCAAUCCCCUGGACCUGUACUGACGCUCAUGCACGAAAGCGUGGGGAGCAAACAGGAUUAGAUACCCUGGUAGUCCACGCCCUAAACGAUGUCAACUGGUUGUUGGGUCUUCACUGACUCAGUAACGAAGCUAACGCG